GAUGAAGAACGCAGCGAAAUGCGAUAAGUAAUGUGAAUUGCAGAAUUCAGUGGAUCAUCGAAUCUUUGAACGCACAUUGCGCCCCUUGGUAUUCCGAGGGGCAUGCCUGUUCGAGCGUCAUUUCAACCCUCAAGCUCUGCUUGGUCUUGGGCCUGGCCGUGAUGGCCGGUCUUAAAAUCAGUGGCGGUGCCGUCGCAGGCUCCAAGCGUAGUACAUCUCUCGCUCUGGAAACUUGGCGGUGCCUGCCAGACAACCCCUAAUUGUCUCUUUCGGUUGACCUCGGAUCAGGUAGGGAUACCCGCUGAACUUAAGCAUAUCAAUAAGCGGAGGA
This 331-nucleotide unclassified non-coding RNA is filed under the name soil metagenome. RNAcentral describes it as "partial contains 5.8S ribosomal RNA, internal transcribed spacer 2, and large subunit ribosomal RNA". The stretch from base 1 to 120 matches the Rfam family "5.8S ribosomal RNA", at positions 35 to 154 of the family's 154-position model. The record is from RNAcentral.